RNAcentral lists this ribosomal RNA (246 nucleotides) under uncultured bacterium. Its description in RNAcentral is "partial 16S ribosomal RNA". It matches the Rfam family "Bacterial small subunit ribosomal RNA", at positions 524 to 769 of the family's 1533-position model. The record is from RNAcentral.
UAUGUAGGGUGCGAGCGUUAAUCGGAAUUACUGGGCGUAAAGCGUGCGCAGGCGGUGAUGUAAGACAGAUGUGAAAUCCCCGGGCUCAACCUGGGAACUGCGUUUGUGACUGCAUCACUCGAGUACGGCAGAGGGAGGUGGAAUCCCGCGUGUAGCAGUGAAAUGCGUAGAUAUGCGGAGGAACACCGAUGGCGAAGGCAAGCCCUCGGUCGCGCACUGACGCUCAUGCACGAAAGCGUGGGGAGC